AGAGAGAGACAUGCGCGCAUAUCAAUAAGCGGAGGAAAAGAAACUAACAAGGAUUCCCUUAGUAACGGCGAGUGAAGCGGGAAGAGCUCAAAUUUGAAAUCUUCAAGGUUUUACCUUGACGAAUUGUAGUUUAAAGAAGUGUUUUCUGCUGAAGUUUUGGUAAAAGUUCUUUGGGAAUAGGACAUCAUAGAGGGUGAGAAUCCCGUAUUUGACCAUUAUUUUCAGCUUUGUGAUACACUUUCAAAGAGUCGGAUUGUUUGGGAAUGCAGUCCAAAAUGGGUGGUAAAUUUCAUCUAAAGCUAAAUAUUGGCGAGAGACCGAUAGCGAACAAGUACCGUGAGGGAAAGAUGAAAAGAACUUUGAAAAGAGAGUUAAACAGUACGUGAAAUUGUCAAAAGGGAAGCGUUUGACACCAGUGUUGUUUUCUCGAAAAUCAAUUAAAAAUGGCUCGAUUUUGUAUUGUUGAGACCUUAAAAGCUCACUGUACAUUUUUCGUGUCUUUUUUAAUGCACUUUUCGUUUAACAAGUCAACAUCAGUUUCUUUUGUUGUAAAAGGGUCAUUGGAAGGUGGCUUUCUUUUCGGAGAAAGUGUUUAUAGCCUUUGGCCUCUGCAAUCGGAGAGACUGAGGUCUGCAGCGUAGACUCUUCGGGGUUAGAUACAUUUGUGCUAAGUUAUAGCCUUUUCAUAGACAACUUGUUGACUAUAAUCAGUCAUGUAGCUUACUCGCUUAUGCUAUUUUACCUACGCUUAGGAUGUUGAAGAUGUAGCACAUCAU
RNAcentral lists this ribosomal RNA (776 nucleotides) under uncultured Neocallimastigales. Its description in RNAcentral is "partial large subunit ribosomal RNA". It matches the Rfam family "Eukaryotic large subunit ribosomal RNA", at positions 23 to 634 of the family's 3401-position model. Lineage: Eukaryota; Fungi; Neocallimastigomycota; Neocallimastigomycetes; Neocallimastigales. The record is from RNAcentral.